GUUUUAGUUGAUGUGCGCCUGCUCGGGGGAUCUGGAAUUCUGAUGUGGAGAACGACACAGUUGGUGCGUGGUCAAUUUGCACUAACAUUUGAGUGAUUGAUUAGUGGUGCUCUAUAGCUUUUCUUUACAAUGAAAUGAUAGAAUAUCCUAGUGGAUUGUUCCUUGGGUGCGUUUGCAGAUUCGUGAGAAAAACGUUUUCUAGAAUUCUAUUUUCAUCCACGAAAAGUUGACAUAUGGGAUGAGAUUG
RNAcentral lists this unclassified non-coding RNA (247 nucleotides) under Hevea brasiliensis (rubber tree). Lineage: Eukaryota; Viridiplantae; Streptophyta; Magnoliopsida; Malpighiales; Euphorbiaceae. The record is from RNAcentral.